AACGAACGCUGGCGGCAUGCCUAACACAUGCAAGUCGAACGAGACCUUCGGGUCUAGUGGCGCACGGGUGCGUAACGCGUGGGAACCUGCCCUUAGGUUCGGAAUAACUCCCCGAAAGGGGUGCUAAUACCGGAUAAUGUCUUCGGACCAAAGAUUUAUCGCCUUUGGAUGGGCCCGCGUUGGAUUAGCUAGUUGGUAGGGUAAAAGCCUACCAAGGCGACGAUCCAUAGCUGGUCUGAGAGGAUGAUCAGCCACACUGGGACUGAGACACGGCCCAGACUCCUACGGGAGGCAGCAGUAGGGAAUAUUGGACAAUGGGCGAAAGCCUGAUCCAGCAAUGCCGCGUGAGUGAUGAAGGCCUUAGGGUUGUAAAGCUCUUUUACCCGGGAUGAUAAUGACAUUACCGGGAGAAUAAGCUCCGGCUAACUCCGUG
Molecule: ribosomal RNA, 433 nt
Filed under: uncultured bacterium
Lineage: Bacteria
Description: partial 16S ribosomal RNA
Rfam family: Bacterial small subunit ribosomal RNA
Source: RNAcentral